Xenopus tropicalis (tropical clawed frog) is the source of this 1944-nucleotide long non-coding RNA. RefSeq lists it as uncharacterized. The transcript is spliced from 2 exons. Lineage: Eukaryota; Metazoa; Chordata; Amphibia; Anura; Pipidae. The record is from RefSeq and is a predicted model, not a curated record.
AAAAAACAAAAUGAAGGUUGGGUUGGUUGGGGGAGGGGUGAAGGUGUUGGCUGUUAUUUUGAUAAAAAUCUACGAAGUUCCCCUUUAUUGGUGUCCCCACGUGUCCCUUGUUUGAGGAGUGCGAGCGGCCAGUGGGUAGGCAGCAGGGUGCCAGCGGGGGUGAGUGGCGCUUCCCAUCAUGGUGGGCAGGCGAUUCCCAUGCCGCGCUGAGGUGGUAGCAGCAGGUAAUGGCACAAUGUGGCGCCGUGCUUGUUGUGAGAAGCCGUACUACAGAGUGUAUCAGCGUGUGUGUGAGGGGAGGGCUGAGCGCGGCUUCCCUUGGCGUGCAGUUUGUAUGGCUUGUUGCGCUAUUGGCUGUGCGAUGGGGGUCGGAAGUCCAUUUUUUUUAUGCAAAUGAAGAAGCUGGGCUUGUAGAUAUUUACGUUGGUGCGGGAGCCGCCCUUCAUUCACCCACAUGGUCGGAUUCAGACAGCGUUCGCGCCACUUUCUCAAUUGUAAUUUAUUUUAAUUGUGUCCCACGCUUUCUCCGCCCAGACUCUUCUUCUUUGCCUGUUGUUCGCUCUCGGGGGGUUCGGCGGAGACGGGCCGAGCUGCCGCUGUUACUGCUGGUAAGCGGAGAUAUCAUUGAUCUCCAAGAUGGCUGUGUCCAGCUGUUGUCAAGAGUAAUGUCAAAGUGCUUACAGUGCAGGUAGUGAUUUAACAGAACCUACUGCAGUGAAGGCACUUGUAGCAUUAUAUUGACAGUGUUUUCUAGAGGCAAAUAAAAGUGUGUGUGUCCAUAUUGUGCUUUUUGUCCUAAGGUGCAUCUAGUGCAGAUAGUGAAGUAGAUUAGCAUCUACUGCCCUAAGUGCUCCUUCUGGCAUAAAAAGUACUCUUUCGCUGAAACUUGUUCUAUUCGUUAAUAUUUGAUCUGUGCCUUUUGCUACUUUGUGCAGUCUUCUGUUAGUUUUGCAUAGUUGCACUACAAGAAAAAUGUAGUUGUGCAAAUCUAUGCAAAACUGAUGGCAGCCUGUAUUGGCUGCAGUAGCAAGCUCUCACUCACACUGUACCAUUUUGGCUAAAGUGGUGCUAAAGUGCUUAUAGUGCAGGUAGUUUUUCUGUAUUCUACUGCAUAAUGAGCACUUAAAGUACUCCUAGCUGCAUGCCGACCCAAUCAGUCAUAAAAAUGUACCUUAAAUCUUGGUGCUUCAUGGUUAGUUUUGCAGGUUUGCAUCCAGUUGUUCUUCUGGCUCACUGUGCAAAUCCAUGCAAAACUGAUUAUGGCACUUAAUCGGCAACUGAUCUGUGGGAUGGUGGGGAGUUGCCCCUUUCUGUAUAGGUUGGGAUUGGUUGCAAUGCUGUACUAUUUAUGUAGUAUUGCACUUGUCCCGGCCUGUUUAGGAUGCUUGGGAUUAUCAAAUGGUUUAUGCAUUCCGACUUUAUUUUUUCCCUUUAUUUGUUAAAAAUGUCAUUAGUCCAUGGAAGUACUUGUCUUAACUUUGUAAUUUAUUGCUGCUUAUUUAUGUAUAUGGAACAACAACGUAAUUAUAAAAUCAAUAUAAACCUUAAAAGACUUGCACAUUUUGUAUACCUAAAUGUAAAUUUGGUUACUCAUAUUUAAAUAUGGUAUAAAUAAGAUUGUACUAUUAAUGUACUAAGCAACUCACAAUACCUUAGAUAAUCACUGAAAAGAAACCCUGGUUUAGAAAUAUAAGAACUAAAGCUCUACUGAAACAUACUGAAAGAAAAAAGCAAAAAGUAUACGAGAGAAACAUUUAUUGAGUACUAAAGCACAUUACAAGAAAAUAUAGCUUGGGCUAUAUUUUCUUGUAAUGUAAUUUUGUAUUCAAUAAAUUUUUUAUUUUGUGUGCGGAUACUUUUGCCUUUUUCUUGACUGUUGAUGGAGUAAUUAAAUGGGGUUUCUCCUGUGUCCCUGCACCUCUUUUCUUUUGCUGUAAUAUAAGG